This 294-nucleotide ribosomal RNA is filed under the name uncultured bacterium. RNAcentral's name for it is "partial 16S ribosomal RNA". It matches the Rfam family "Bacterial small subunit ribosomal RNA", at positions 333 to 619 of the family's 1533-position model. The record is from RNAcentral.
UUGUACCUACGGGAGGCAGCAGUAGGGAAUCUUCCACAAUGGGCGAAAGCCUGAUGGAGCAACGCCGCGUGGGUGAAGAAGGUCUUCGGAUCGUAAAACCCUGUUGUUAGAGAAGAAAGUGCGUGAGAGUAACUGUUCACAUUUCGACGGUAUCUAACCAGAAAGCCACGGCUAACUACGUGCCAGCAGCCGCGGUAAUACGUAGGUGGCAAGCGUUAUCCGGAUUUAUUGGGCGUAAAGGGAACGCAGGCGGUCUUUUAAGUCUGAUGUGAAAGCCUUAGGCUUAGCCGGAGU